RNAcentral lists this ribosomal RNA (496 nucleotides) under uncultured bacterium. RNAcentral describes it as "partial 16S ribosomal RNA". It matches the Rfam family "Bacterial small subunit ribosomal RNA", at positions 899 to 1397 of the family's 1533-position model. The record is from RNAcentral.
ACUCAAAGGAAUAGACGGGGGCCCGCACAAGCGGCGGAGCAUGCGGAUUAAUUCGAUGCAACGCGAAGAACCUUACCUGGGUUUGACAUGGCCGCAAAACUGUCAGAGAUGGCAGGUCCUUCGGGGGCGGUCACAGGUGGUGCAUGGCUGUCGUCAGCUCGUGUCGUGAGAUGUUGGGUUAAGUCCCGCAACGAGCGCAACCCUCGUCCCAUGUUGCCAGCAAUUCGGUUGGGGACUCAUGGGAGACUGCCGGGGUCAACUCGGAGGAAGGUGGGGAUGACGUCAAGUCAUCAUGCCCCUUAUGUCCAGGGCUUCACGCAUGCUACAAUGGCCGGUACAAACCGUUGCGAGCCCGUGAGGGGGAGCGAAUCGGAAAAAGCCGGUCUCAGUUCGGAUCGGGGUCUGCAACUCGACCCCGUGAAGUCGGAGUCGCUAGUAAUCGCAGAUCAGCAUUGCUGCGGUGAAUACGUUCCCGGGCCUUGUACACACCGCCCGU